RNAcentral lists this long non-coding RNA (491 nucleotides) under Gossypium raimondii (Peruvian cotton). RNAcentral's name for it is "long non-coding RNA (GRAI_LNC000137)". Lineage: Eukaryota; Viridiplantae; Streptophyta; Magnoliopsida; Malvales; Malvaceae. The record is from RNAcentral.
UGUGUUUGCAUUUGCUGUCCUUGUUCUUCUUUUUUUUUUGCAGGUGUUAUUGGAGUCAAUGGUGGUGCUGGGAAACACACCUUUGGUUUAGUUUUGGUGAGAUGGUGGCAGGCCUCGAACGAUGUUCAUACUGACAUGGCGAAGGCAUAGGAGCGGCGGCUGGAGUCUAGGGUUUAGUUUUCUGAAAAAUGUUUAAGUUGUUGGGCAAAUGGGACAUUAGGGUUUCUUUUUAUUUUGGGCCAUUUGUAAUUGGUCUUGGACUUAAUGGAUUCUAUUAUUUUUAUUUUUAUUUUUGGUUUGGUUUCUGUUUGGGUCGGGACUAAAUUGGGCCUCUACAGCUGCCCCUCUUUGCUCAUUAUCGUGUAACGGGAAUGGAGCAAAGACUUCAAGAAGGACUAAUUUUGUCUGAUUUUACCAAAUCUUGACUUAUUUAGUGCUUCUCUUUUUCAAUUAGCCUCAUUCUAACCCACUGCAACUUCAGAAGUAUAGGA